UUGCAGUCGAGCGAAUGGAUUAAGAGCUUGCUCUUAUGAAGUUAGCGGCGGACGGGUGAGUAACACGUGGGUAACCUGCCCAUAAGACUGGGAUAACUCCGGGAAACCGGGGCUAAUACCGGAUAACAUUUUGAACCGCAUGGUUCGAAAUUGAAAGGCGGCUUCGGCUGUCACUUAUGGAUGGACCCGCGUCGCAUUAGCUAGUUGGUGAGGUAACGGCUCACCAAGGCAACGAUGCGUAGCCGACCUGAGAGGGUGAUCGGCCACACUGGGACUGAGACACGGCCCAGACUCCUACGGGAGGCAGCAGUAGGGAAUCUUCCGCAAUGGACGAAAGUCUGACGGAGCAACGCCGCGUGAGUGAUGAAGGCUUUCGGGUCGUAAAACUCUGUUGUUAGGGAAGAACAAGUGCUAGUUGAAUAAGCUGGCACCUUGACGGUACCUAACCAGAAAGCCACGGCUAACUACGUGCCAGCAGCCGCGGUAAUACGUAGGUGGCAAGCGUUAUCCGGAAUUAUUGGGCGUAAAGCGCGCGCAGGU
Molecule: ribosomal RNA, 540 nt
Filed under: Bacillus cereus group sp.
Lineage: Bacteria; Bacillati; Bacillota; Bacilli; Caryophanales; Bacillaceae
Description: bacterial SSU rRNA
Rfam family: Bacterial small subunit ribosomal RNA
Source: RNAcentral